GGAUGUGAAAGUAAACAGGCUUUGACUUCUGUCACCCACUGAUCAGUGGAACUAAUCCAGGUGAUGUGGCUGGCUAGGCAGGUGUUCCUUUCUGCCUUCCCACUCCAUGCACAUCCUGCAUGCAGCUGUGCACUUGACUGAAGAGAACGCAAACAGAGGAGAAACAGUCUGUCUUAAAGGAUUCAUAGCAUCCGUUUUUAAAAACUAAUAAAGCAUAAACCAGUAUCAUGAGCCACUUUUUUGAUGAAGAAAUUGUAGGGUAGU
RNAcentral lists this small RNA (264 nucleotides) under Mus pahari (shrew mouse). RNAcentral's name for it is "sRNA (MGP_PahariEiJ_G0008129.1)". It matches the Rfam family "7SK RNA". From Rfam's summary of the family: 7SK was discovered as an abundant small nuclear RNA in the mid-70s but a possible function has only recently been suggested. Two independent studies have found that 7SK RNA binds the CDK9/cyclin T complex (known as elongation factor P-TEFb). The record is from RNAcentral. Lineage: Eukaryota; Metazoa; Chordata; Mammalia; Rodentia; Muridae.